CAAGAAAAAAAAUGUGCAGAAAAACAAGCAACAACUAUCCCAUGACUAACAACUCCUAAGUCUAUGAGAUUCUCCAAACGAAUAAGUGAAACAAACAACCACCUUCCUAAAGAGAAGAGAUUUAUUAAAUAAAUAAAACAACUUGAAACCUUAACACUCCCCUAAACUGAUUUCUUCCUAAAAUAGUUUAGGAAUCAAACAUCAUCUUUAGUCCAGUGUUGAUGCCCUCCUUUGAACAACGACCUGUGAAGAGCAGACUCCAAGAAUGUUUCUGAGCUUCUCGAACACUGGCUAUUUCAGUGGUUUGGUGAGGAUAUCAACUGCUUGGUUUUCAUUUUUGCAGAAUUCUAACUCAAUUACACCAUCUUUUCACAUAUCACGCAAGAAAUGGUAACGAACAUCAAUAUGUUUGCUUCACCCAUGCAUAACUGGAUUCCUUGACAACUU
This 447-nucleotide long non-coding RNA is filed under the name Prunus dulcis (almond). RNAcentral's name for it is "sRNA ncRNA". The record is from RNAcentral. Lineage: Eukaryota; Viridiplantae; Streptophyta; Magnoliopsida; Rosales; Rosaceae.